Sycon ciliatum is the source of this 1164-nucleotide long non-coding RNA. RefSeq lists it as uncharacterized. The record is from RefSeq and is a predicted model, not a curated record. NCBI's taxonomy places the organism in Eukaryota, Metazoa, Porifera, Calcarea, Leucosolenida, Sycettidae. The transcript is spliced from 3 exons.
UCUAAAGCCUUUCCAUACUGGUGCUCGAUGUUUUCAGUUUGGGGACACCAAAAUUAGUGUACCGCUAAAGACACGUGGUCGACACGUUGUUGACACGUUGUUGACACUUUGUUGACACGUGACCCAAUUACCGGCCUACCAAGUGCCUUUGGCGACCGCUAACAGCAACUGUGGAACAGUGCAGUGCCCUUUUUUGGAGCAACGUACGAGUAGUGCCCAUGGAUUAUGACCCCGCGACCCCAAUCUACGUGGCGGUCCGCAAUUCGCUACUUCAUACUGACUGGCGUCCGGCAUCGUCCCGAAUUUGGCCACAAUCUGCUCUCGGGACCCCUAUAGGACUCCCUGACCUGCUCCAUCUCCGCCAUCGUCAAUGUACUGCGCAUCCACCCAGGCCAGGACUGCACUUACUUACGGGAAGGAGUAUUUGCAAGAUGGAACCUGGGAACUGGAAGGCGACGAAGAGGAAGCGUGGGAAUCCGGCGGCAAUGGCUGGGAUGACUGAACUUACGGGAAGGAGUGCUUCCAAGAUGGGAGACGAAGAAGAAGAAGCCGCUGAAUCCGGCGGCAAUGGCUGGGAUGCUGCGUUCUCGAGAGGAAGCGUUAUUUCUGCAUUCCAAGAAGGACGGCACAAUGGUGAGUGGAACUUCGUUGGUGUGCAGCCUUGCUAGUUGAAUUGUAAAUCAACCAUUCUUCCUGUCUCUGACUUCUUCAAUGUCCUCCUCAGUGUCGGACUGUCCGCGUCGCAUUGAACUGGUCCGAUGAGGCUGCUAUUGCACACACAGUGAGGGAACUCCCAUACGGGAACUCGGAAGUACUGCUACAGUACAGGUAAGGUGGCCAUUGCUUAUGUGCGUGCGCCGUUGUCAAACUUCUAAGCCAGCUGUACUCCAACCUACAUGGAGUCUGAAAGUAGUCAGCUGGCGAACUACAAUUGAAGUUUAGACGUUAUAUGCCGCGGCUUGGUCAGCUUUUUCAGUUUCACAAUGCAUUGCACUCAGCACCGCUUCUCGGAGUAUCUUGUCAGGAUAGCUUUGGAACGCAUCCUCCCCAGUGGGGGAACGGCAAAUGUGCUGUUCAUUUUUUAGGCUUGCUUUUAUGGUACGUACAAAUCCCCAUUGAAAAGACAUAGUGGAGACCAGAAACUGUAAAUAGAUGUUGGGAACC